AUACGGAGGAAAAGAAACCAACAGGGAUUGCCUUAGUAGCGGCGAGUGAAGCGGCAAAAGCUCAAAUUUGAAAUCUGGCACUUUCAGUGUCCGAGUUGUAAUUUGAAGAAGGUAUCUUUGGGUCUGGCUCUUGUCUAUGUUUCUUGGAACAGAACGUCACAGAGGGUGAGAAUCCCGUGCGAUGAGAUGACCCAGACCUAUGUAAAGUUCCUUCGAAGAGUCGAGUUGUUUGGGAAUGCAGCUCUAAGUGGGUGGUAAAUUCCAUCUAAAGCUAAAUAUUGGCGAGAGACCGAUAGCGAACAAGUACAGUGAUGGAAAGAUGAAAAGAACUUUGAAAAGAGAGUGAAAAAGUACGUGAAAUUGUUGAAAGGGAAGGGCUUGAGAUCAGACUUGGUAUUUUGUAUGUUACUCUUUCGGGGGUGGCCUCUACAGUUUACCGGGCCAGCAUCAGUUUGGGCGGUAGGAGAAUUGCAAAGAAAUGUGGCACUGCCUCGGUAGUGUGUUAUAGUCUUUGUCGAUACUGCCAGCCUAGACUGAGGACUGCGGCUUCGGCCUAGGAUGUUGGCAUAAUGAUCUUAAGUCGCCCGUCUUGAACAACGGAACCAGAA
This 608-nucleotide ribosomal RNA is filed under the name Lodderomyces metapsilosis. Its description in RNAcentral is "Candida metapsilosis partial large subunit ribosomal RNA". It matches the Rfam family "Eukaryotic large subunit ribosomal RNA", at positions 48 to 672 of the family's 3401-position model. The record is from RNAcentral. Lineage: Eukaryota; Fungi; Ascomycota; Pichiomycetes; Serinales; Debaryomycetaceae.